GUUUCCAAACAGUGAAGGAGGUUUUUCCAAACUCAUCCCUAAUUGAACAUGAGGAUGAAUUGGCAUUAGGCGAACACAGUCAGUUAUUCAGUCUACCACCUGACAGUGUGUUAAAGUUAAAUUCUGUUAGUGCUGCACUAAAAGAAUUGUUAGUAAUAAGUCCAUGCAGCGAAGGAAUUGAACAACUGUGGGACCGUAUUUGGGCUGAAAAUGGGUGUGGUACGGAAACCCAGAAAUAGCAUGAGUUCAACAUAAAACAUGAAUUAGAAUUCUAGUGGGGGAUCAAGUCAAGUCUAGAAGUGUUACAGGAUGGAAGAGUGAGCCUACAGUUGAAAAACACUGAAAGUGCAUUACCAUUAAGGUAUGAGGUAAAGUAAUAGAGUAUGCAAAUUGUCUAAUGAGAAGUACCAUCUUGUGUGAAUGAAUCCUGUGUAACAGCAAUCCUUUAUAGUUCUGUUAUAGCUAGAAGCCUCAAAUAAUUCUGCUUCUCUUGCUAAAGAACAACUUGUCCUUUACACUCAGAGUGUUGGUGAAGCUGGGUACUUAAAUGGCCCUAAAGAUGUUUCACUUCACUGGCAUUGCAGCGAUGAACAUCAUACAUGGACUCUUUAGGAAAGGAUUUUCAGCAUACUGGGAACACAACUAUCAACAAUGCAACAUUCUAGGGGUGUUAUUUUAUCCUUCAAGAGCCUUAUACAAUGAUUUUCAUCUACAAUUUGUAUGGCCUUUCCCGAGCUUCUGCCAGAAGUUGAAUCUAUGAGUCAUGUAAGUCACAUGAGCAACAAUUGAGAUGCUUAAUGGUGUUGUUUUUCUUUUCUCAGUGUAGGUUAAUAGUAACAUUGGAUCUGAAAAAAUUCUUGGUUGGGGCAAGACACUGAAUAAAUUGUA
This is a long non-coding RNA of Daphnia carinata, 888 nucleotides long. RefSeq lists it as uncharacterized. Lineage: Eukaryota; Metazoa; Arthropoda; Branchiopoda; Diplostraca; Daphniidae. The record is from RefSeq and is a predicted model, not a curated record. The transcript has 4 exons.